GCGGAAGUAGUUCAGUGGUAGAACAUCACCUUGCCAUGGUGGGGGUCGCGGGUUCGAAUCCCGUCGUUCGCU
This 72-nucleotide transfer RNA is filed under the name Streptococcus thermophilus MTCC 5460. RNAcentral's name for it is "tRNA-Gly". It matches the Rfam family "tRNA". From Rfam's summary of the family: Transfer RNA (tRNA) molecules are approximately 80 nucleotides in length. Their secondary structure includes four short double-helical elements and three loops (D, anti-codon, and T loops). Further hydrogen bonds mediate the characteristic L-shaped molecular structure. tRNAs have two regions of fundamental functional importance: the anti-codon, which is responsible for specific mRNA codon recognition, and the 3' end, to which the tRNAs corresponding amino acid is attached (by aminoacyl-tRNA synthetases). tRNAs cope with the degeneracy of the genetic code in two manners: having more than one tRNA (with a specific anti-codon) for a particular amino acid; and 'wobble' base-pairing, i.e. permitting non-standard base-pairing at the 3rd anti-codon position. Lineage: Bacteria; Bacillati; Bacillota; Bacilli; Lactobacillales; Streptococcaceae. The record is from RNAcentral.